AUGAAGCUUCCAUUGUAUGGUUGAUGGAGGUGGAGCUGCAGAAGAACAAAUUGCUCUGGAUGGCAUGCUAGACAUGUAAUCCUCAAUAUGAGCAAAAUUCAUUAGUACAAAAAAGAUAUUUUUAUAUAUUAGAUUUUUUUUUUAGAAGAAUAUAGAUUAGAAGUUAUUUUAAGCUUUUAUGGGUUUUAGAUUUCUCUACUAUUUAGACCAGUUCUCAGUUUUGGUAAAUCCCAAACUUAUUAGAUACUUGUUGAUCUGAUAAUAUGAUAGUAUAUCUCUUCCUUUUAAAUGUUAAAUUCAAUUGGUACUUCUUUGUGUUCAGAACCCUCAUCCUCAUUGUAAUUAUCGAAUUAUCAAAUAUAUAUAUAUAUAUAUAUAUACAUAAAUAAAAUAAGAAAGAAGUAUUGUCCAACAUUUAAUAUAUUGCAAGAAUAAUAUGUCAAGUGCAGUCUUAGUCAAAACUACUUCGAGUUCUCUAAGUGCAAUAGUUGCUAAUAUGUCUGGGACUUGGGGUGCCCAAACUAGUGCCAUGAAACGCAUACAUCGAAAAUCCAAAUAUGGAUUUUCAUUCUUGUAUUAGAAUCUACAAGAUGAAUAUGCAAGCAGAGUAUAAGUUUAUUAAUCUCAUGGUCUACGUUGGUUGUUUCAGACUAUAAUUUGUAGUAUGUUGAUUGUAAACAGGUUUACAGGAAAUUAAUUGUUACUGAUUCAACGAUUAGCACUUAUUAGAUAUCCCUUUGUGGUUGGCCAACUUUAUAUUUUCAUUACGAUUUGUUCUUGUAGCUUUGUGGUAGUCUGUUUUGUUAUAAAUCAUUGCAAAAAGUGUACAUUCAAUUACUACUUGCUACAUGGAUGUGACAUAUAAUGUAUCUGUAUUACAGUGAAAAGUGCAUUUUUGAACAGACUAAGUUUUUUGAUAAAAACAUGAUUUCAUCAAACAGAACAAGUAACAGCAUUAUUCAUCCAAGCAUCCCAAACAACACUGAGAUGGAAAGAUUUAUUACCAACCAGAACUCUUUUGUGGCACAACAGCCUUUAAGUUGAAUGGGAAUGUAAUUUUCUUUUUACUACACUCUUUUCAGGUUGUUACUUGUUAUACUGUCAUUUUAGUGCUUUUCACAGACUAAUAUGGAUUUAAUAACUUGUGUAUUGAAUUAAUAUUUUUAGGUGUUCCUGGAAGUACAGAAGGAAGUUUGAAAAUGUAGUUUCUUGUUUCUUGUGGAACUUCUAACUAUUAUGGGAGUGACACUAUGUUUCCACUCGCCUGUAUGUACUCAGAAUGUAGCAUUUUUCCCACUAUUGAGCAAUAAAAUCUGGCAAUUUUGAUCUUUACUAGACUUUUUUCAGCAUUUUUUUUUUCAAUUUUGAACAUUUUGGCUUACAAAUUUGUAUACUGUAGCUUGUAGCAGGGCUGGCACUAGGCUUAGGCCUAAAGCCUCCCAUGGCCUCUCAUACAAAAAGACCCCAAAAUUAUAUACUCACCCAAGGAAGCCCCUUAAUUCAGUUUCAAGAUAUUUAUUUUCUCCCCCUUCAAUAUCCAAAUUCACCUUCAUCUUCAUGAAUGGGUUUUAGAGAGCUGGAGUAUGGCAAUCUAGCUUUGUUAGUCAAGCAAGGUUGGCUUCUAAUCCACAAUCCAUGAUCAUUAUAAUUCCGAGUACUGAAGGCUAAGGUUUUUUUUCUUACAUAUCAUUCCUAGAAGCCCCAAUGCCCACCCAAUCAUCUUACACUUUGCAUAGUAUUGCAUAGGCAAGACAUGUUAUUAUUGGUUUAUUGUGGGAACACGUUAGGGUAUUGGCAAUGGGGAUAGCAUGCAAGUUUGUCAAGAUGGAAAACUCUAUAGACACCCAUUGCCAAAAUCCAAACAUACUUAAGUGACAACUUGUGAUUGGUGCACCAAAAUCAAGUUUUUCAUUAAGUUACAAAUGGUGGUCCCAUGUACAAGUGUUGAUAUCCAACCAAAAAUUGUCACCCAAGCAUGUUGUAGAUUUGGGUGUGGAAAUAGUUUUGCCCGUAGGCGGACUGUUGUCAAGACCGAUGGUUAUCAACCCCGACUACUUAUCAUGUCUAGCUUAACAUGUCAGCCAAUGCAACCACCCUUCGCUCCUUUUGGAAUUCACUCUAGUCUCUACAAAUGCAACCGAAAGUCAACUUCAUACAGAGAAUGUGUAAUGGAAUCUUGUCCACUUAAACAACUCUGUUUAAGAGAGGAGUCAUCUCUAAGAGUUAUGUGUGUUUUGUGCCAAGGAUGUAGAGACUGAUAUUCAUUCAUGUCUAAGGGGUCUGGAACAGAAGUACUUUACUAUUACAUCAACUACAGGAACACCCCAAGACUAGGUGGAUUUCUGUGAAGAUUGCCAUGACAAAGUUUUAAUCGCCUGACAUUGAAAUCUCUUUCUCGAUCCUAUGCAAUGCAUGGAGGCUGGGUGAUACACAUCAAUUUGGAGUCUUAGUGCAGCAAAGCGAAGAUGGCAAAAUUACAAUUUCAUGAGAUCAGAACUACGCAGAAUCACAAUGUUGUUCUGGGCCUUCUGGCUUCCAAAAUGGUCACAUCCUCUCUAGCAGACUGAUAUGUAAGUUUAGUUUGGCCAAUGCCUCUACCAAAUUGAGACUAUUAGGAGGAAUUGAAGCUGUGAUCCGUGAUGCAGCUAGACAAGUGUUGGUAGCAAUAGUGGAACCAUUACAACUGUGAUUGCUCCCUCCAUAAGCAUGUUAUAUUGUUAUGCACUACUUCAAGAUCUCCUCUACUGCAAAGAUAUGGGUUUUUGGGCACUGAAAGUUGACUGUGAUAAUAGGCUGUUUUACCUUUUGCUUACAGCUGUGGCACCAUGUUUCUCCAAACUGGGUCUGCUGGUUGAUUCAAUGUCUACUCAUGGGCUUUCAAAAGGUUUCUUUCAUGUGCAUCCAAAAGAAAUGUAAUUGAGCGAUACAAUACCUGGAAAAGCUACAGAGGCAUGAAGAAGUGAGAGCGGUUGAAUGUGAAGGAGAAAAAAGUAUCGAUGAUUUGGUUGAAAAAUUAACUGGGAAGUCUACA
Quercus lobata is the source of this 3031-nucleotide long non-coding RNA. RefSeq lists it as uncharacterized. The record is from RefSeq and is a predicted model, not a curated record. The transcript is spliced from 2 exons. Lineage: Eukaryota; Viridiplantae; Streptophyta; Magnoliopsida; Fagales; Fagaceae.